This 272-nucleotide unclassified non-coding RNA is filed under the name uncultured fungus. RNAcentral describes it as "partial contains small subunit ribosomal RNA, internal transcribed spacer 1, and 5.8S ribosomal RNA". The stretch from base 1 to 73 matches the Rfam family "Eukaryotic small subunit ribosomal RNA", at positions 1759 to 1831 of the family's 1831-position model. Lineage: Eukaryota; Fungi. The record is from RNAcentral.
GCAAACUUGGUCAUUUAGAGGAAGUAAAAGUCGUAACAAGGUUUCCGUAGGUGAACCUGCGGAAGGAUCAUUACUGAAGUCGAUCUGAGACUGCCAUUAUGGUGUGCUCGAUCUUAUUUCAUCCACAUACACCUUUGUGCACUAUGGGGGGCUUGUUCCCCCCCCUUCUUAUACAUAAAUACCAGUUAUAUGCAUGUCUCAUACUCUUAAUGAGUAGUUGUACAACUUUCAACAACGGAUCUCUUGGCUUUCGCAUCGAUGAAGAACGCAGC